UUCUUAUCCAGAGAGGUGGAGGGAAAAAGGCCCUGUGAAGCCCGGCAACCUAUUUAGAAACUAAGGAAUUAAGUAAUUAACUUUAAAUUACUUAAUAAGCUAAAUGCUCUUAAUUAAUAAGAUAUAUUAAUUAGCGUAAGUAACUUAGUUACUAUUUGUGGUGCAAAUUCCUGCAGAACAUUAUAUUUUUGCAAGAUAAGAA
Clostridium celatum DSM 1785 is the source of this 202-nucleotide regulatory RNA element. It matches the Rfam family "SAM riboswitch aptamer (S box leader)". Rfam says of the family: The SAM riboswitch is found upstream of a number of genes which code for proteins involved in methionine or cysteine biosynthesis in Gram-positive bacteria. The SAM riboswitch acts at the level of transcription termination control. The predicted structure consists of a complex stem-loop region followed by a single stem loop terminator region. The record is from Rfam. Lineage: Bacteria; Bacillati; Bacillota; Clostridia; Eubacteriales; Clostridiaceae.